GGGGCUGUAGCUCAGUUGGCAGAGUGCUUGCAUGGCAUGCAAGAGGCCGGGGGUUCAAAUCCCCCCAGCUCCACCA
RNAcentral lists this transfer RNA (76 nucleotides) under Acidimicrobiia bacterium. RNAcentral's name for it is "tRNA-Ala". It matches the Rfam family "tRNA". Rfam says of the family: Transfer RNA (tRNA) molecules are approximately 80 nucleotides in length. Their secondary structure includes four short double-helical elements and three loops (D, anti-codon, and T loops). Lineage: Bacteria; Bacillati; Actinomycetota; Acidimicrobiia. The record is from RNAcentral. RNAcentral also lists the same sequence under 2 other names.